GGAUUAGGCAUGCAAGUCGAACGAGGGAGCGUCCCGAAAGGGAUGCAAACCGAGUGGCGUAAGGGUGAGUAAUGCAUUGAUAACCUACCUCCAAGAUGGGAAUAACAACGUUCCAAGCGAUUGGGGCUACCGAAAGGGUUGCUAAUACUCAAUAAAAUUAUUGUUGCUUCGGCAAUAAUAGUCAAAUAGGAGGAAUCGAAAGGUUCCGCUUGCUUGAAGAGGGGUCAAUGUCCUAUCAGCUAGUUGGUGGGGUAAUAGCCUACCAAGGCGAAGACGGGUAGCCGGCCUGAGAGGGUGGUCGGCCACACUGGGACUGAGAUACUGCCCAGACUCCUACGGGAGGCUGCAGUCGAGAAUCUUUCGCAAUGCCCGAAAGGGUGACGAAGCGACGCCGCGUGCGGGAGGAAGGCCUUCGGGUUGUAAACCGCUGUCGGGAGUUAAGAAAUGCAAGGAUGUUAAUAGCGUUCUUGCUUGACUAAGGCUCCGGAGGAAGCCACGGCUAACUCUGUGCCAGCAGCCGCGGUAAUACAGAGGCGGCAAGCGUUGUUCGGAAUUAUUGGGCGUAAAGAGCACGUAGGCGGCUGUGUAAGUCGGUUGUGAAAGCCUUCCGCUCAACGGAAGAACGGCAUCCGAUACUGCAUGGCUUGAGUGUGGGAGGGGAGAGUGGAACUUCUGGUGGAGCGGUGAAAUGCGUAGAUAUCAGAAGGAACACCGGCGGCGAAGGCGACUCUCUGGUCCAUAACUGACGCUGAGUGUGCGAAAGCUAGGGGAGCAAACGGGAUUAGAUACCCCGGUAGUCCUGGCCGUAAACGAUGGGCACUAAGUAGAGGGGUUUU
This 836-nucleotide ribosomal RNA is filed under the name Candidatus Brocadia sp. enrichment culture clone ODS-1. RNAcentral's name for it is "bacterial SSU rRNA". It matches the Rfam family "Bacterial small subunit ribosomal RNA", at positions 46 to 832 of the family's 1533-position model. RNAcentral also lists the same sequence under 1 other name. The record is from RNAcentral. Lineage: Bacteria; Pseudomonadati; Planctomycetota; Candidatus Brocadiia; Candidatus Brocadiales; Candidatus Brocadiaceae.